This 218-nucleotide ribosomal RNA is filed under the name Pectobacterium brasiliense. RNAcentral's name for it is "partial 16S ribosomal RNA". It matches the Rfam family "Bacterial small subunit ribosomal RNA", at positions 1 to 217 of the family's 1533-position model. Lineage: Bacteria; Pseudomonadati; Pseudomonadota; Gammaproteobacteria; Enterobacterales; Pectobacteriaceae. The record is from RNAcentral.
AAAUUGAAGAGUUUGAUCAUGGCUCAGAUUGAACGCUGGCGGCAGGCCUAACACAUGCAAGUCGAGCGGUAGCACGGGGGAGCUUGCUCCCUGGGUGACGAGCGGCGGACGGGUGAGUAAUGUCUGGGAAACUGCCUGAUGGAGGGGGAUAACUACUGGAAACGGUAGCUAAUACCGCAUAACCUCGCAAGAGCAAAGAGGGGGACCUUCGGGCCUCU